Molecule: ribosomal RNA, 103 nt
Filed under: Chordata environmental sample
Lineage: Eukaryota; Metazoa; Chordata
Description: partial 12S ribosomal RNA
Source: RNAcentral
GCUUAGCCCUAAACACAGAUAAUUACAUAAACAAAAUUAUUUGCCAGAGUACUACCAGCAACAGCUUAAAACUCAAAGGACCUGGCGGUGCUUCAUAUCCCUC